Long non-coding RNA from Vigna radiata var. radiata (mung bean), 1627 nucleotides. RefSeq lists it as uncharacterized. The transcript has 4 exons. NCBI's taxonomy places the organism in Eukaryota, Viridiplantae, Streptophyta, Magnoliopsida, Fabales, Fabaceae. The record is from RefSeq and is a predicted model, not a curated record.
AGUAGAGAUUGGCUGUUCAAAUUCUUCUGACAGGGAAUAUGAAGGAGGGAAAGAGAUAACGAACAAACAACACCAUCAGUUCAAGUUAAAGCGGCUAAUGGUUUGUUAGAAAAAAAACUACUAAUGGUAUCCGAAACGGUUAAAUAAUAAAUGAAAGUUGUUUAUGAAGUCAGGACAUUAAAUGUAAGAUAUAGGCUUUUUAAUUUCUUUUAUUAACAUAAUAAAUGAAAAGGUUUAAAAAUAACAGAAUAAUUUGAAAUUUGCUGAAAGAAAAGAUGGUACAUGAUGGCGCGCUAUAAAACCUUAAAAUUAGGACAGUAUAAAUAGUGCGGGUUGUACAUGAAGUUGAGUAUCAGAGUCACAAACUGAAAAGUUGGGUGUAGCCAUGGAGGGCAGGAGUAAGAAGAAGGGUAAAGAAAGCAGUGCAAGCGGUCAAUGGCGUGUGGGUUUACUAUACGAUAGGAGGAUGUGCAAACACUACGCGUCGAACGAGCCGAAGCACGUCGAGAAUCCUAAUCGCAUUAGGUCAAUUUGGAACCGACUCGAAGCCGCCGGCGUUCCUCAACGAUGCGUGUUUCUAGAGGCCAAGAAAGCUGAAGACAGACAUGUGCGGUUAGUUCAUUCCAGACAUCACGUGAAUCUGAUUAAGAACAUUAGCGCCAGGGGGUUCAAAUCGCGGAGGUAUUGAAUUCCGUAUAUUUUAAUGAAGGUUCAUCUGAAGCUGCGCUCCUUGUUGCUGUCUCUGCUGUAGAGGUUGUUGAAAAGGUGGCAAGCGGGGAAUUGGAUUCAGCUGUUGCCAUUGUGAGGCCCCCAGGUCAUCAUGCAGAACAUAAUGAAGCUAUGAGAUUUUGUCUCUUCAACAAUGUGGCAGUUGCUGCAAGAUAUCUCUUAGACUCUAAGAGUGAGUUACAUUGCACCUACUACCAAUUCCAAUUUUACUAAGAAUUUCUAGCCUAUAGAUGUCUGUUACUUUAUUGCCUCCUUUAUUUUUCCGUGUGCGACAGCCUGAUUUAGGUGUGAAGAAAAUUUUAAUUGUUGAUUGGGAUGUCCAUCAUGGAAAUGGUACUCAAAAAACGUUCUGGAAUGACUCUCGAGUUUUGUUCUUCUCCGUUCACAGGCAUGACUUUGGGUUUUUUAUCCUGCCGAGCACCACGGGUAUUAUGAUCAGGUGGGAGAAGGAGAAGGUGUUGGAUAUAAUAUAAAUGUCCCCAGGGAGCCGGGGAAAUGUGGUGAUCCAGAUUACAUUGCAGUGUGGGACCACAUCUUGCUUCCUGUUGCUAAAGAAUUUAAUCCAGACAUAGUUAUAGUUUCUGCUGGAUUUGAUGCAGGUAUGUUAUUGUGACGUUUGGGUUUUUCUGUUAUCUGUGUGGGAGGAGAGGGUAUCACUAGUUCUUCCCAUGGCUUUGGAGCAUUGCUAGCUAGCUUUUGUAAUUGAACUUCAGUUUACCUGUUUUGCAAGAAGGAAGUGGAUUUGGGUCAGUUGAUAUGUUAAUUUAUUACUUUUAACUGUAACAAGUAAUAAUUAUUCACUUAUUUGUCACAGCUGUAGAGGACCCUCUAGGAUGAUGUCGUCUCACAGCAGUUAGUUAUUCUGUUUUGUUGGAGAAGAUUACUUUAAGAUUGAAUU